Long non-coding RNA from Maniola jurtina (meadow brown), 1584 nucleotides. RefSeq lists it as uncharacterized. The record is from RefSeq and is a predicted model, not a curated record. The transcript is spliced from 2 exons. Lineage: Eukaryota; Metazoa; Arthropoda; Insecta; Lepidoptera; Nymphalidae.
CACCACAGGCAUAUUAGUUUCUAGAACAUGUCUGCAAAUUUUCAUGGACUUUGGUUGCUUAAUAUUCAAAUGAAAUUGAGGCUACGAUUGUAUGGAGUAAGUGACGGAGAGAACUGUUAAGACAGUGCUAAUAUGGCCAAUUAAUCCUUAAAAAGCACACUGUCUUUAAAAGCACUUCAUUGACUUAGUAUAAUAUGUAUAAUAUUAAAAAAACAUAAUAUAGCCAGUAGAUAGCUGUUUUGAAAGAGAAAUUGAUAAAGACGUGAACACAUCACUGUGUUGUUGUGUGUUGUGACUCGUGAAUAGUGACGCGAGAAAAAGCGAUAGCAGUCCUAAUUUUUUUUGUCUUUUGUGGAGUGCUCCGCUCGUUACCCCAGGUUGCUUUGCAACAUGCAACAACACUGCAACAGCUUAGGUAUUUAAUUUUUCAUUCAUUACAUAAGUAUCUAUUUACAUACUUAUACCUAAUUGUAGAUCGCACAAAACGAUUAUAUCAUUAGGUACCUUUUGAUGUUUUGUUACGCUUAGAAAUUUUCUACCUAAUAAUUUUUUAUGACAUUUAUUUCUAUUGUAAAGUGGAUGCACAAAAAAUCUUAUCAUAAAAAGACCAACUUUUCUAAAAAUAUUGAAUGUCUUGUCUUUCCUCUGCAUUUUUGUUAUACUUAUAUUUAAGUAAAUGUAAGUCCUAUGUACCCAAAGUCCUUCAAAUUAUUAAGCCUUAUUUUCUAAAGGUGCAAACACACUAUCGUGUUGAGGUGUGUUGUGGUCGGGGUCUACAUGUGUACACUGUACACUAGUCGGUUGUGUUGCUAUGGUGAACGGGCGCGGACCAAUCGGACCAACGCUUAUAGCUACCAUACCAUACCAUAAUACUAUUCACUGUGUCUGCACCUUAUAGAUGCGAAAAAGUUUGGACGGUAUUUUCUGAAAAUUAAUAUAUUCACUUUUGUGAUCGUACCAACUAUGGAUAUCAUGGGGAUUAGGGAUACUUGUCAUAAAUUUUGACAGCUUAUCUAAAAGUCUACUCCCUAACUCCUCGGUCCAUGGAGUUCGGCUCAAGAAACAUUGCAAUAAAACGAUGCGACGGCGGGUCUUUUUCAGUGUAGCAAAGAAAACUGAACUUCUGCUAAAAAGACGCGCGGCGAUGCGUGCGUUCGAGGCAAUUAGGUAGGUAGGUAGGUACCACACAUUUGCAGUGGAUUUAAAAUUCAGUUAUCUUUCUAAGAUCUUUAAUAAAAAGACGCGUUGAUUCGCUUCGACUCUGCCGCAAUGAGCCUUGAGCUUAAUGCGUGAGUAGGUAGGCAUGCAAGAUUGAAGUUCAGAAAAUGCGUGGAAAAGCUUCGUAUUUCUUCAUUCGUAGUAAUAAGUGAAUGUAGUUCCAACAGGCUGGUCCCUGUAUUGAUAUUCUAUACCUCAUAAGUACCCAAUAUUUUACCAUUGCGUAAGAAUAAAUUUAAAAAUUAAAAUUACGUGUAAAUUACUACCGUGGCGAUGUAUUCAAUUGAAUUGUUAAAAUUAUUUAUGUAUUCCGGAAUGAUACGUAUAAUAAAUCGAUGUCCUGAUUAAAAUUAUCUUAAUAUUAUA